RNAcentral lists this microRNA precursor (101 nucleotides) under Populus trichocarpa (black cottonwood). RNAcentral's name for it is "MIR2912 microRNA precursor family". It matches the Rfam family "MIR2912 microRNA precursor family", at positions 27 to 129 of the family's 156-position model. Lineage: Eukaryota; Viridiplantae; Streptophyta; Magnoliopsida; Malpighiales; Salicaceae. The record is from Rfam by way of RNAcentral.
ACUGAACAGUGUCUGGGCUGCAGGACAGAUUCGGACUUCUUCGUUGUUGUACAAUUUGGACUUGAAAACGGCCAUGUUAAAUCUUGGGCUCCCAUGAAAGU